Molecule: transfer RNA, 71 nt
Filed under: Bombina maxima (large-webbed bell toad)
Lineage: Eukaryota; Metazoa; Chordata; Amphibia; Anura; Bombinatoridae
Description: tRNA-Lys
Rfam family: tRNA
About the family: Transfer RNA (tRNA) molecules are approximately 80 nucleotides in length. Their secondary structure includes four short double-helical elements and three loops (D, anti-codon, and T loops).
Source: RNAcentral
CACUAAGAAGCUAAUACGGAAUAGCAACAGCCUUUUAAGCUGUAGACAGGUGACCUAAUCGCCCUUAGUGA